GAUGAACGCUGGCGGCGUGCCUAAUACAUGCAAGUCGAGCGAACGGACGAGAAGCUUGCUUCUCUGAUGUUAGCGGCGGACGGGUGAGUAACACGUGGAUAACCUACCUAUAAGACUGGGAUAACUUCGGGAAACCGGAGCUAAUACCGGAUAAUAUUUUGAACCGCAUGGUUCAAAAGUGAAAGACGGUCUUGCUGUCACUUAUAGAUGGAUCCGCGCUGCAUUAGCUAGUUGGUAAGGUAACGGCUUACCAAGGCAACGAUGCAUAGCCGACCCGAGAGGGUGAUCGGCCACACUGGAACUGAGACACGGUCCAGACUCCUACGGGAAGCAGCAGUAGGGAAUCUUCCGCAAUGGGCGAAAGCCUGACGGAGCAACGCCGCGUGAGUGAUGAAGGUCUUCGGAUCGUAAAACUCUGUUAUUAGGGAAGAACAUAUGUGUAAGUAACUGUGCACAUCUUGACGGUACCUAAUCAGAAAGCCACGGCUAACUACGUG
Molecule: ribosomal RNA, 497 nt
Filed under: uncultured bacterium
Lineage: Bacteria
Description: partial 16S ribosomal RNA
Rfam family: Bacterial small subunit ribosomal RNA
Source: RNAcentral